This 492-nucleotide ribosomal RNA is filed under the name uncultured bacterium. RNAcentral describes it as "partial 16S ribosomal RNA". It matches the Rfam family "Bacterial small subunit ribosomal RNA", at positions 29 to 507 of the family's 1533-position model. The record is from RNAcentral.
AGUGAACGCUGGCGGUAGGCCUAACACAUGCAAGUCGAACGGCAGCACAGUAAGAGCUUGCUCUUACGGGUGGCGAGUGGCGGACGGGUGAGGAAUACAUCGGAAUCUACUUUUUCGUGGGGGAUAACGUAGGGAAACUUACGCUAAUACCGCAAACGACCUACGGGUGAAAGUAGGGGAUCUUCGGACCUUGCGCGAUUGAAUGAGCCGAUGUCGGAUUAGCUAGUUGGCGGGGUAAAGGCCCACCAAGGCGACGAUCCGUAGCUGGUCUGAGAGGAUGAUCAGCCACACUGGAACUGAGACACGGUCCAGACUCCUACGGGAGGCAGCAGUGGGGAAUAUUGGACAAUGGGCGCAAGCCUGAUCCAGCCAUACCGCGUGGGUGAAGAAGGCCUUCGGGUUGUAAAGCCCUUUUGUUGGGAAAGAAAAGCAGCAGGUUAAUACCCCGCUGUUCUGACGGUACCCAAAGAAUAAGCACCGGCUAACUUCGUG